RNAcentral lists this ribosomal RNA (695 nucleotides) under Lysobacteraceae bacterium. Its description in RNAcentral is "bacterial SSU rRNA". It matches the Rfam family "Bacterial small subunit ribosomal RNA", at positions 736 to 1428 of the family's 1533-position model. The record is from RNAcentral. Lineage: Bacteria; Pseudomonadati; Pseudomonadota; Gammaproteobacteria; Lysobacterales; Lysobacteraceae.
AACACUGACGCUGAAGCACGAAAGCGUGGUGAGCAAACAGGAUUAGAUACCCUGGUAGUCCACGCCCUAAACGAUGCGAACUGGAUGUUGGUCUCAACUCGGAGAUCAGUGUCGAAGCUAACGCGUUAAGUUCGCCGCCUGGGGAGUACGGUCGCAAGACUGAAACUCAAAGGAAUUGACGGGGGCCCGCACAAGCGGUGGAGUAUGUGGUUUAAUUCGAUGCAACGCGAAGAACCUUACCUGGCCUUGACAUGUCUGGAAUCCUGCAGAGAUGCGGGAGUGCCUUCGGGAAUCAGAACACAGGUGCUGCAUGGCUGUCGUCAGCUCGUGUCGUGAGAUGUUGGGUUAAGUCCCGCAACGAGCGCAACCCUUGUCCUUAGUUGCCAGCACGUAAUGGUGGGAACUCUAAGGAGACUGCCGGUGACAAACCGGAGGAAGGUGGGGAUGACGUCAAGUCCUCAUGGCCCUUACGGCCAGGGCUACACACGUACUACAAUGGUCGGUACAGAGGGUUGCAAUACCGCGAGGUGGAGCCAAUCCCAGAAAGCCGAUCCCAGUCCGGAUCGGAGUCUGCAACUCGACUCCGUGAAGUCGGAAUCGCUAGUAAUCGCGGAUCAGCUAUGCCGCGGUGAAUACGUUCCCGGGCCUUGUACACACCGCCCGUCACACCAUGGGAGUGAGUUGCUCCAGUAGCC